UUAAGCGACUAAGCGUACACGGUGGAUGCCCUGGCAGUCAGAGGCGAUGAAGGACGUGCUAAUCUGCGAUAAGCGUCGGUAAGGUGAUAUGAACCGUUAUAACCGGCGAUUUCCGAAUGGGGAAACCCAGUGUGUUUCGACACACUAUCAUUAACUGAAUCCAUAGGUUAAUGAGGCGAACCGGGGGAACUGAAACAUCUAAGUACCCCGAGGAAAAGAAAUCAACCGAGAUUCCCCCAGUAGCGGCGAGCGAACGGGGAGGAGCCCAGAGCCUGAAUCAGUGUGUGUGUUAGUGGAAGCGUCUGGAAAGGCGCGCGAUACAGGGUGACAGCCCCGUACACAAAAAUGCACAUACUGUGAGCUCGAUGAGUAGGGCGGGACACGUGGUAUCCUGUCUGAAUAUGGGGGGACCAUCCUCCAAGGCUAAAUACUCCUGACUGACCGAUAGUGAACCAGUACCGUGAGGGAAAGGCGAAAAGAACCCCGGCGAGGGGAGUGAAAAAGAACCUGAAACCGUGUACGUACAAGCAGUGGGAGCACGCUUAGGCGUGUGACUGCGUACCUUUUGUAUAAUGGGUCAGCGACUUAUAUUCUGUAGCAAGGUUAACCGAAUAGGGGAGCCGAAGGGAAACCGAGUCUUAACUGGGCGUUAAGUUGCAGGGUAUAGACCCGAAACCCGGUGAUCUAGCCAUGGGCAGGUUGAAGGUUGGGUAACACUAACUGGAGGACCGAACCGACUAAUGUUGAAAAAUUAGCGGAUGACUUGUGGCUGGGGGUGAAAGGCCAAUCAAACCGGGAGAUAGCUGGUUCUCCCCGAAAGCUAUUUAGGUAGCGCCUCGUGAAUUCAUCUCCGGGGGUAGAGCACUGUUUCGGCAAGGGGGUCAUCCCGACUUACCAACCCGAUGCAAACUGCGAAUACCGGAGAAUGUUAUCACGGGAGACACACGGCGGGUGCUAACGUCCGUCGUGAAGAGGGAAACAACCCAGACCGCCAGCUAAGGUCCCAAAGUCAUGGUUAAGUGGGAAACGAUGUGGGAAGGCCCAGACAGCCAGGAUGUUGGCUUAGAAGCAGCCAUCAUUUAAAGAAAGCGUAAUAGCUCACUGGUCGAGUCGGCCUGCGCGGAAGAUGUAACGGGGCUAAACCAUGCACCGAAGCUGCGGCAGCGACGCUUAUGCGUUGUUGGGUAGGGGAGCGUUCUGUAAGCCUGUGAAGGUGUACUGUGAGGUAUGCUGGAGGUAUCAGAAGUGCGAAUGCUGACAUAAGUAACGAUAAAGCGGGUGAAAAGCCCGCUCGCCGGAAGACCAAGGGUUCCUGUCCAACGUUAAUCGGGGCAGGGUGAGUCGACCCCUAAGGCGAGGCCGAAAGGCGUAGUCGAUGGGAAACAGGUUAAUAUUCCUGUACUUGGUGUUACUGCGAAGGGGGGACGGAGAAGGCUAUGUUGGCCGGGCGACGGUUGUCCCGGUUUAAGCGUGUAGGCUGGUUUUCCAGGCAAAUCCGGAAAAUCAAGGCUGAGGCGUGAUGACGAGGCACUACGGUGCUGAAGCAACAAAUGCCCUGCUUCCAGGAAAAGCCUCUAAGCAUCAGGUAACAUCAAAUCGUACCCCAAACCGACACAGGUGGUCAGGUAGAGAAUACCAAGGCGCUUGAGAGAACUCGGGUGAAGGAACUAGGCAAAAUGGUGCCGUAACUUCGGGAGAAGGCACGCUGAUAUGUAGGUGAAGUCCCUCGCGGAUGGAGCUGAAAUCAGUCGAAGAUACCAGCUGGCUGCAACUGUUUAUUAAAAACACAGCACUGUGCAAACACGAAAGUGGACGUAUACGGUGUGACGCCUGCCCGGUGCCGGAAGGUUAAUUGAUGGGGUCAGCGCAAGCGAAGCUCUUGAUCGAAGCCCCGGUAAACGGCGGCCGUAACUAUAACGGUCCUAAGGUAGCGAAAUUCCUUGUCGGGUAAGUUCCGACCUGCACGAAUGGCGUAAUGAUGGCCAGGCUGUCUCCACCCGAGACUCAGUGAAAUUGAACUCGCUGUGAAGAUGCAGUGUACCCGCGGCAAGACGGAAAGACCCCGUGAACCUUUACUAUAGCUUGACACUGAACAUUGAGCCUUGAUGUGUAGGAUAGGUGGGAGGCUUUGAAGUGUGGACGCCAGUCUGCAUGGAGCCGACCUUGAAAUACCACCCUUUAAUGUUUGAUGUUCUAACGUGGACCCGUAAUCCGGGUUGCGGACAGUGUCUGGUGGGUAGUUUGACUGGGGCGGUCUCCUCCUAAAGAGUAACGGAGGAGCACGAAGGUUGGCUAAUCCUGGUCGGACAUCAGGAGGUUAGUGCAAUGGCAUAAGCCAGCUUGACUGCGAGCGUGACGGCGCGAGCAGGUGCGAAAGCAGGUCAUAGUGAUCCGGUGGUUCUGAAUGGAAGGGCCAUCGCUCAACGGAUAAAAGGUACUCCGGGGAUAACAGGCUGAUACCGCCCAAGAGUUCAUAUCGACGGCGGUGUUUGGCACCUCGAUGUCGGCUCAUCACAUCCUGGGGCUGAAGUAGGUCCCAAGGGUAUGGCUGUUCGCCAUUUAAAGUGGUACGCGAGCUGGGUUUAGAACGUCGUGAGACAGUUCGGUCCCUAUCUGCCGUGGGCGCUGGAGAACUGAGGGGGGCUGCUCCUAGUACGAGAGGACCGGAGUGGACGCAUCACUGGUGUUCGGGUUGUCAUGCCAAUGGCACUGCCCGGUAGCUAAAUGCGGAAGAGAUAAGUGCUGAAAGCAUCUAAGCACGAAACUUGCCCCGAGAUGAGUUCUCCCUGACUCCUUGAGAGUCCUGAAGGAACGUUGAAGACGACGACGUUGAUAGGCCGGGUGUGUAAGCGCAGCGAUGCGUUGAGCUAACCGGUACUAAUGAACCGUGAGGCUUAACCUU
Molecule: ribosomal RNA, 2902 nt
Filed under: Escherichia coli
Lineage: Bacteria; Pseudomonadati; Pseudomonadota; Gammaproteobacteria; Enterobacterales; Enterobacteriaceae
Description: bacterial LSU rRNA
Rfam family: Bacterial large subunit ribosomal RNA
Source: RNAcentral